RNAcentral lists this ribosomal RNA (1002 nucleotides) under Acinetobacter junii. RNAcentral describes it as "bacterial SSU rRNA". It matches the Rfam family "Bacterial small subunit ribosomal RNA", at positions 392 to 1382 of the family's 1533-position model. Lineage: Bacteria; Pseudomonadati; Pseudomonadota; Gammaproteobacteria; Moraxellales; Moraxellaceae. The record is from RNAcentral.
CCAUGCCGCGUGUGUGAAGAAGGCCUUAUGGUUGUAAAGCACUUUAAGCGAGGAGGAGGCUACUGAGACUAAUACUCUUGGAUAGUGGACGUUACUCGCAGAAUAAGCACCGGCUAACUCUGUGCCAGCAGCCGCGGUAAUACAGAGGGUGCGAGCGUUAAUCGGAUUUACUGGGCGUAAAGCGUGCGUAGGCGGCUUUUUAAGUCGGAUGUGAAAUCCCCGAGCUUAACUUGGGAAUUGCAUUCGAUACUGGGAAGCUAGAGUAUGGGAGAGGAUGGUAGAAUUCCAGGUGUAGCGGUGAAAUGCGUAGAGAUCUGGAGGAAUACCGAUGGCGAAGGCAGCCAUCUGGCCUAAUACUGACGCUGAGGUACGAAAGCAUGGGGAGCAAACAGGAUUAGAUACCCUGGUAGUCCAUGCCGUAAACGAUGUCUACUAGCCGUUGGGGCCUUUGAGGCUUUAGUGGCGCAGCUAACGCGAUAAGUAGACCGCCUGGGGAGUACGGUCGCAAGACUAAAACUCAAAUGAAUUGACGGGGGCCCGCACAAGCGGUGGAGCAUGUGGUUUAAUUCGAUGCAACGCGAAGAACCUUACCUGGCCUUGACAUACUAGAAACUUUCCAGAGAUGGAUUGGUGCCUUCGGGAAUCUAGAUACAGGUGCUGCAUGGCUGUCGUCAGCUCGUGUCGUGAGAUGUUGGGUUAAGUCCCGCAACGAGCGCAACCCUUUUCCUUACUUGCCAGCAUUUCGGAUGGGAACUUUAAGGAUACUGCCCAGUGACAAACUGGAGGAAGGCGGGGACGACGUCAGUCAUCAUGGCCCUUACGGCCAGGGCUACACACGUGCUACAAAUGGUCGGUACAAAGGGGUUGCUACACAGCGAUGUGAUGCUAAUCUCAAAAAGCCCGAUCGUAGUCCGGAUUGGAGUCUGCCACUCGACUCCAUGAAGUCGGAAUCGCUAGUAAUCGCGGAUCAGAUUGGCGCGGUGAAUACGUUUCCCGGGCCUU